GGAUUAGAUACCCUGGUAGUCCACGCCGUAAACGAUGGUCACUAGCUGUCCGGACUUAGGUCUGGGUGGCCAAGCGAAAGUGAUAAGUGACCCACCUGGGGAGUACGUUCGCAAGAAUGAAACUCAAAGGAAUUGACGGGGGCCCGCACAAGCGGUGGAGCAUGUGGUUUAAUUCGAUGAUACGCGAGGAACCUUACCAGGGCUUAAAUGCAUUAUGACAGGGGUGGAGACACCCUUUUCUUCGGACAUUUUGCAAGGUGCUGCAUGGUUGUCGUCAGCUCGUGCCG
Molecule: ribosomal RNA, 287 nt
Filed under: uncultured bacterium
Lineage: Bacteria
Description: partial 16S ribosomal RNA
Rfam family: Bacterial small subunit ribosomal RNA
Source: RNAcentral